This is a long non-coding RNA of Myxocyprinus asiaticus (Chinese sucker), 6157 nucleotides long. RefSeq lists it as uncharacterized. NCBI's taxonomy places the organism in Eukaryota, Metazoa, Chordata, Actinopteri, Cypriniformes, Catostomidae. The record is from RefSeq and is a predicted model, not a curated record. The transcript has 6 exons.
UUGACUCAAUUUACUGCAUGCUAUUUCAACAACUACAUGUAAGUUGAGUGAACUUAACACUUCAUGUUUGCUAAACUUAACUGAGCCAAAGCAACAAGAUGACUUGACUAAGUCACAUUGUGUCAACAAAUAAUUUUUUACAGUGUGUGUGUGUGUGUGUAUAUAUAUAUAUAUAUAUAUAUAUAUAUAUAAAACUCAGCAAAAAAUAGAAACGUCCCUUUUUCAGGACACUGUAUUUUAUAGAUAAUUUUGUAAAAAUCCAUAUAACUUUACAGAUCUUUAUUGUAAAGGGUUUAAAUAAUGUUUUCCAUGCUUGUGCAAUAAACCAUAAAAAAUUAAAGAACAUGCACCUGUGGAACGGUCGUUAAGACACUAACAGCAUCAGACUGUCUGCAGUAGGCAAUUUCUUUAUUUUUUUUCCUUUUUCUCCCAAUUUGGAAUGCCCAAUUCCCAAUGUGCUUUUUAAGUCCUUGUGGUCACGUAGUGAUUCACCUCAGUCUGGGUGGCGGAGGACGAAUCCCAGUUGCCUCUGCGUAUGAGAUCAUCAACCCUCGUAUCUUAUCACAUGGCUUGUUGAGCGCAUUGCCACGGAGACAUAGCGCAUGUGGAGGCUUCACGCCAUCCACCGCAGCAACCACGCUCAACUCACCACAUGCCCCACCGAGAACAAACCACAUUAUAGCGAUCACGAGGAGGUUACCCCAUGUGACUCUACCCUCCCUAGCAACCGGGCCAAUUUGGUUGCUUAGGAGACCUGGCUGGAGUCACUCAGCCCACCCUGGGAUUUGAACUAGUGAACUCCAGGGGUAGUAGCCAGCAUCUUUACCACUGAGCUACCCAGGCCCCCACAGACAGCAGGCAAUUAAGGUCACAGUUAUAAAAACUUAGGACACUAAAGAGACCUUUCUACUGACUCUGAAAAAAACUAAAAGAAAGAUGCCCAGGGUCCCUGCUCAUCUGUGUGAAUGUGCCUUAGGCAUGCUGCAUGGAGGCAUGAGGACUGCAGAUGUGGCCAGGGCAAAAAAUUGCAAUGUCCGUACUGUGAGACGCUUAAGACAGCAUUGCAGGGAGACAGGAAGGACAGCUGAUCGUCCUCGCAGUGGCAGACCACAUGUAACAAUACCUGCUCAGGAUCGGUACAUCCGAAUAUCACACCUGCGGGACAGGUACAGGAUGGCAAUAACAACAGCCCGAGUUACACCAGGAACGCACGAUCCUUCCAUCAGACUGUCUGCAACAGGCUAAGAGAGGCUUGUAGGCAUGUUGUAAGGCAGGUCCUUACCAGACAUCACCAGCAACAACAUCGCCUAUGGGCACAAACCCACCUUCGCUGGACCAGACAGGACUAGCAAAAAGUGCUCUUCACUGACGAGUCGCGGUUUUGUCUCACCAGGGGUGAUGGUCGGACUCACGUUUAUCAUCGAAGGAAUGAGCAUUACACCGAGGCCUGUACUCUGGAGCAGGAUCGAUUUGGAGGUGGAUGGUCCGUCAUGGUCUGGGGCAGUGUGUCACUGCAUCAUCGGACCGAGCUUGUUGUCAUUGUAGGCAAUCUCAAUGCUGUACGUUACAGGGAAGACAUCCUCCUCCCUCAUGUGGUACCCUUCCUGCAGGCUCAUCCUGAUAUGACCCUCCAGCAUGACAAUGCCACCAGCCAUACUGCUCGUUCUGUGCAUGAUUUCCUAAAAGACAGGAAUGUCAGUGUUCUGCCAUGGCCAGCGAAGAGCCCAGAUCUCAAUCCCAUUGAGCAUGUCUGGGACCUGUUGGAUCAGAGGGUGAGGGCUAGGGCCAUCCCCCCCAGAAAUGUCCGGGAACUUGCAAGUGCCUUGGUGGAAGAGUGGGGUAACAGGUCACAGCAAGAACUGGCAAAGCUGGUGCAGUCCAUGAGGAGGAGAUGCACUGCAGUACUUAAUGCAGCUGGUGGCCACACCAGAUACUGUUACUUUUGAUUUUGACCCCCUCCCCUUUGCUCAGGGACACAUUAUUCCAUUUCUGUUAGCCACAAAACAUUAUGACCACUCAAAGGAGAAGUGAAUAACGUUGAUCAUCUCCUCACAAGGCCACAUGUCAAGGACUGGGUAGAUUAGAUGGUAAGCGAACUAUCAGUUCUCAUAGUCAAUGUGUUGAAUGCAGGAGAAAUAGGCAAGAGUAAAGAACUGAAUGACUUUGUUAAGUUAAAAUUAAAACACUGGAAAUCAGAAAAUGAAAACAGGCAUCCACUCGAUGCAGUCCAAUCCAUAUCCAGUCUCCUCUAAAACAUUUGGGUACAUCUUUAACCAUCUCAUCAAUAUCUGUCUGGUCAUCAAUGGUGGCUAGAUCAGUAUAAUGUUGUCUGCACUAAUUAUGUGCAUCUGACCAGCUCAUUGUCACAGGAACAAAGUAAAACAAAUAAGGCAGAGCGGAUCCCACGUGCAUCAGAGCUGAGGUAGAAAGAUAGAAGAAUUUUAUUACCUUAUAUUAAAACACUCACACAAACUUACAUAUAUUAUCAUGCAGAUUGUACAGAUAUUUAUUGUUUUAGUUUUGAACAGGAUUAAAGUGAAUUAUAAAGUGUCCCCAUUAACCAUUAAAGUAACCUGCCAAAAGCACCAUGGGUAAAGUAGUCUUAUUUGAUGCACCUGUAAGAAAACUUUAGUCUGGGUUAAAUCAUAAUCAGAUUACUUUCCCCCCAACAAAAUAAUAUAUUCAAUUUAAUUCAACAAUUUCACCAAUUCCAAUUCAAUUAAAAAGAAACUUUACUUUAUAUGUCUGUGCAUUGUUUUCCCCUCCUCUCUGUGCAGGUAAUUGAGAGAAACUCGUUAUUGUUGUUUUACAUACUUUGCAAAAGAUACUGAAAUUUAUGAGUAACAUGAGACAUUUGCAAAUGUAAUGGCCCAGCACAGUGAGUUUAAAAAGGUAUUGUUUCAUGUUUAAAUGAAAGCCAUAUGUUAUGGUCAAUUUUAAGGUAUGUUUACACUAGUGAUGGGCACUUUUGAAACACGCUUCAUGAAGCCUCGAAACUUUUACGAAUCUUUUGUUUCGAACCAGUGCUUCGUAGCGCCUAUCAAACUGGCCAAGUCAUGUGAUUCAGCAAACAAGGCUUCAUUACAUAACACUGUUUUAAAAUACUUUCGAAACAUUUUUAAAUGUUUCGUGGUUACACGAGGGGACGUUGAUCCCACAGUGAAACCCAGAAUCAGUGUUAAAUGCAGGCUGUAACUGAUCUCGUGUCAGCUCAGCAAUAACCUUGGACUUACACUGAUAGUGGCUUGGAUGCAGCCUCAUUUAAAAUCAGCAGUUUUCAGUUUCAGAUGCCAUUGUAGAAAUGUAGUAUUCACAGUCAGCCAUGAUUACUCAAUCCGUACCGGAAACACGAUUUGUACUGCGCAUGUGAGAAAACUCAAGUUUGCUGUCACUUCCUGUCAUCGCCAAUGUUUUUACGACAGUCUGCUCUACAGGGUAGACUUUACUGUCACAGUUUGUACUGCGCAUGUGCUUGAUUUAUAGAGACGUGGUGGAGAGUGACAGAUAUAAAUAUUGAUUCUUUUGUGUUUUAUGUACAAAUUCAAGAAUUUCUCUUAAAAGGAGAAAUUCCUGACAAUCCCACAGAGCGUCAGAAGGUGAAACGGGUGUCUACGAAUUUUACUAUCAAAGGUAACUAUAAGUACCGAGAGAUUUUAUAAUGAAAAAAGAGAACUGACUGUCUGAGACAACCAGGGUCAUGUGCUUAUUUCACAAAUUUUGUUUAAAAUAUCAAGCUACGUUAACUGUACUUGUUCAGCUCCCGUAUCUGGGCAUUAAUAUACAAGUGACUAUAAUGUAGUUUAAUCUGUCAGAUAUCACAUAGUAAUAUGAUCUUUUUCUUUUUUACUUUCAACUGCAACUUUUUCCGAAUUUUUCUUUUUUCCUCUUAAAACAGACAACAGACUCUUCUGCAUCGGCCCCAGUAGGCAGUACAUGUGGCUAAUUGUCCUGUCAGAGGAAGAGAAGAGGUCUGUUCUUACGGAGUGCCACAAUAACCCUGGGACUGGCAAUCCCAGUGGCGUCAGAAGCACUCAAAACAGGGUUAUUGCUGGCUACUAUUGGCCUACAAUUAUCAAGGAUGUGAAAGAAUGGGUUCAAUAUGUACUACAGAGGUGGUACUUUACUUUUACUUUUUCCAGUUUUUUUUUUUUUUCUUUACAAGUAUCUAUACUUAAGAAUGUGUCUACUUUUGCCACCUCUGAUUGUUAGAUACCUCCUUGAUUUAGAAGUUAUAUUUAUUGUCAUCACCAACUUGUAUUAACAGGCUAUUUUUCUAGACAUUUUGUUCAAAAAAUUUGUUUUGCUUUUUAGGUCAGAUCUUGUCACCGCUGCCAGUUGAAUGACCCCAUCAAGACUGUUGUGCCAGUCUUGCAUUCCAUUAAGGUAAAAUAAUCUCGGGAGGUGCUUGGUUUGGAUUUGAUUGGACCACUGCCAGAAACAGCACGCAAGUAUGUCCUUACCAUGACAGACCUGUACACCAAGUGGGUGAUUGCAGAACCCAUGCAAUCUAAGACAGCAGCUGAGGUGUCUGCAAUAAUAACCACAAAGCUGUACUUGUUCGGCAUGGUUAGGAAAAUCAUUACAGACCAAGGGAAAGGGUUUGUCAACAAGGUGAAGUUUUGUAAAGGUUUAAUUAUGUUUUUCCCCUUACUCUAGUCUGAUCAUAAAUGUUAUUGUCUACAGUUACUCCAGUCUUGCAAAUUUAACUGAUGAUCCCUCUGCAGCUCAACAACAGCAUUUUCAGUAUGCUGAAAAUCAAACAUGUUGUCUCCAGUGCUUACCAUCCCCAGACCAAUGGACAGAUAACUCUUUGGAUAUCUGUCCUGUAAGAUCUAUUGUUGUCUUGUGGUUAUUCAUCAACUUUAUAAAUGCAUUGAUAUGUACAGGAUGAAAGAACCAAUCAGAAUAUCAAGCGUACUCUCAGGAAGUAUGUGAAUGACAACCAUAAUGACUGGGAUCUUCACCUUCCUGCUGUGGUGUAUGGAAUCAACACUGCAAAGCAGUACUACCUAGACACAGUCCCUACUUCCUCCUCUUCCAUCGACACCCACAUCUGCCAGAGGUCAUGAAUGCCUGUCCCAUGGGAGAUGAUUUUGAAGUUGCUGACCUGGAAGAUGACAUCGACACCAGAGUCAAUAAGAUGAAACUUCUUAAUGAAACGGUUCUUCGCAACAUAGAGAGAGCACAGAGCAUGCAACAAAAGUCAUUCCAAAAUCGCAAGCUCAAGUAUGUCUGAGUAUGUUCAGUUCAGGCCGGUGAUGAUGUUCUGCUCUCACGGGACCCCAAGAAAGAACGGACAGGAGACACAUUUACAAGUCAGCACCAAGGACCAUAUACUGUGGCCAGCAUCUCUUCCAAAGGGGUAGCCACUAUUGUGACAGGUUCAACUUGUCAGAGGGUCAGUGUGUCAAGACUGAGGACAUACUACAGAUUGAAAAGUAAGAGUGUUCGAUAAACUCUGUAUAAAACAGUUUACAAUUAAAUGCUAGAUUCAGAAAAAUUGGAUAUUUGUUUGUAAUUCCUGUUGUUACUAAUUGUCAGGUAUAUUGUGUAUACUAUUAUAUCUUCUUUCAAAAGUAUUUAUUUUGAUGCAUGCAUGUUUAAUAACUUACAAUGUUCUUUCCAUAAGGGGGAAAAAAAAAAUCACCUCUAUGGUAGCUGGUUCUCGAUUGGACCUCUAUGUUGUUGCCACCUGGAAAGACAAAAAUGUGGACCCAGUGCAUUGUUUGCCUAAUCUAUGUGGCUGUCAUGUCACGUGACAAAUGAAUUUCCAUUUGGAGAGUUGAUCUACUCCGUGAAAUUCAGAAGAAAGAGGUUUGUUAUUGGUGAGAAAAUGGAGAAGACUUUAUCAUAUCUAAGAUUAGACAACCUUAUGGAGAGAUGGCCUGCUCUGUUCAAUGAAUCUCAGGUCAAUGAUGAGUUAAGGAGGUAACCACUAUUCACCUGGAGCGAACAUUUUUGUGAAAACUGGACUUCUAUACUCCAAAACUCCUGGCCAUAUUUGAAACGAAGGGUGGGGUUACUGGCACAAAAAUUAGAAGUGUGCUGGAUUCACUUAGUCAAGUAAAGUGUAAAAGCUCCAUAUUUACACUCAGAUUCUAUGUGAUCUUUUAAUUUUUUUUUUUUUUUUUUUGACAGGGUAGUAUAUGUUAUGGAU